GACGGAGGAUGCAAGUGUUAUCCGGAAUCACUGGGCGUAAAGCGUCUGUAGGUGGUCAAAUAAGUCAACUGUUAAAUCUUGAGGCUCAACCUCAAAAUCGCAGUCGAAACUAUUCGACUAGAGUAUAGUAGGGGUAAAGGGAAUUUCCAGUGGAGCGGUGAAAUGCGUAGAGAUCGGAAAGAACACCAACGGCGAAAGCACUCUGCUGGGCCGACACUGACACUGAGAGACGAAAGCUAGGGGAGCGAAUGGG
Molecule: ribosomal RNA, 253 nt
Filed under: uncultured bacterium
Lineage: Bacteria
Description: partial 16S ribosomal RNA
Rfam family: Bacterial small subunit ribosomal RNA
Source: RNAcentral